This 250-nucleotide ribosomal RNA is filed under the name uncultured bacterium. Its description in RNAcentral is "partial 16S ribosomal RNA". It matches the Rfam family "Bacterial small subunit ribosomal RNA", at positions 524 to 773 of the family's 1533-position model. The record is from RNAcentral.
GACAGAGGAUGCAAGCGUUAUCCGGAAUGAUUGGGCGUAAAGCGAGCGCAGGCGGUUUUUUAAGUCUGAUGUGAAAGCCUUCGGCUUAACCGAAGAAGUGCAUCGGAAACUGGGAAACUUGAGUGCAGAAGAGGACAGUGGAACUCCAUGUGUAGCGGUGAAAUGCGUAGAUAUAUGGAAGAACACCAGUGGCGAAGGCGGCUGUCUGGUCUGUAACUGACGCUGAGGCUCGAAAGCAUGGGUAGCGAAC